RNAcentral lists this ribosomal RNA (308 nucleotides) under uncultured soil bacterium. Its description in RNAcentral is "bacterial SSU rRNA". It matches the Rfam family "Bacterial small subunit ribosomal RNA", at positions 26 to 334 of the family's 1533-position model. The record is from RNAcentral.
AGAACGAACGCUGGCGGCAUGCCUAAUACAUGCAAGUCGAACGAACACUUCGGUGUUAGUGGCGCACGGGUGAGUAACACGUAGGUAAUCUACCUUCGGAUGGGGAAUAACAACCGGAAACGGUUGCUAAUACCGCAUAAUGCAGCGGCACCUAAUGGUGACAGUUGUUAAAGCGGGGGAUCGAAAGACCUCGCGUCUGAAGAGGAGCCUGCGGCGGAUUAGCUAGGUUGGUAAGGUAUGGCUUACAGCUACGAUCCGUAACCGGCUGGAGAGGGCGUACGGUCACGACGUGACAGUCGACAGUACGG